This 404-nucleotide long non-coding RNA is filed under the name Coturnix japonica (Japanese quail). RNAcentral describes it as "lncRNA (ENSCJPG00005019494.1)". Lineage: Eukaryota; Metazoa; Chordata; Aves; Galliformes; Phasianidae. The record is from RNAcentral.
CUUGAUACCCAGUUGAAUUGCAAAGUGUGAGGCAGAAGAAACCACCACUGCUUUGUUCUGCAGUUAUACAAGUUGGCAAGUGGGUUCUUCACAAGACCCCGGUAUAAAUUAGAAGACCUACGCAGUUAACAGGGAAUCUUCCUUUAUAUCACUGGUCAGGAGCAUCUCAGCUUUCCAGUGCUCUGCAUGGACUGCGGGACCGGCCAGGAGCAGCUGGAGCUGUGAAGGGCAGCUCCGUGACUCACUCGCACUGUUAAGCCAGACAAGUUUGUAACAUCAAUGCUGUUGUGACCAAUAUUAUAGUCCAAAGAGGGCCUGAAAGCUCUCAGGUAUGAGUAGCACAAACCCAUUCUCAGAAGAGGGAGAGCCAGAGCAACUUGCUUUACCAUUGUGCUUUCUGGAAC